GGACAAGCAAUGCUUGCCUUAAAGAUAAACUUUUGGAUUAACUAUUCAGGAGGUUAAUUAUGGCAC
Molecule: small RNA, 66 nt
Filed under: Phytobacter massiliensis
Lineage: Bacteria; Pseudomonadati; Pseudomonadota; Gammaproteobacteria; Enterobacterales; Enterobacteriaceae
Description: FourU thermometer RNA element
Rfam family: FourU thermometer RNA element
About the family: FourU is a small thermoregulator element found upstream of the agsA gene in Salmonella species. The four Us occlude the Shine-Dalgarno (SD) sequence by base pairing.
Source: RNAcentral